GGAAUAUUGCACAAUGGGCGCAAGCCUGAUGCAGCCAUGCCGCGUGUAUGAAGAAGGCCUUCGGGUUGUAAAGUACUUUCAGCGGGGAGGAAGGGGACGAGGUUAAUAACCUCGUUCAUUGACGUUACCCGCAGAAGAAGCACCGGCUAACUCCGUGCCAGCAGCCGCGGUAAUACGGAGGGUGCAAGCGUUAAUCGGAAUUACUGGGCGUAAAGCGCACGCAGGCGGUCUGUUAAGUCAGAUGUGAAAUCCCCGGGCUUAACCUGGGAACUGCAUUUGAAACUGGCAGGCUUGAGUCUUGUAGAGGGGGGUAGAAUUCCAGGUGUAGCGGUGAAAUGCGUAGAGAUCUGGAGGAAUACCGGUGGCGAAGGCGGCCCCCUGGACAAAGACUGACGCUCAGGUGCGAAAGCGUGGGGAGCAAACAGGAUUAGAUACCCGAG
RNAcentral lists this ribosomal RNA (440 nucleotides) under uncultured Pantoea sp. RNAcentral describes it as "bacterial SSU rRNA". It matches the Rfam family "Bacterial small subunit ribosomal RNA", at positions 358 to 790 of the family's 1533-position model. Lineage: Bacteria; Pseudomonadati; Pseudomonadota; Gammaproteobacteria; Enterobacterales; Erwiniaceae. The record is from RNAcentral.